GACGAACGCUGGCGGCGUGCCUAACACAUGCAAGUCGAACGGAACUCAUUGGAAUGAGACUUCGGUCGAAUGAUAGUGAGUUUAGUGGCGGACGGGUGAGUAACGCGUGAGCAACCUGCCUUUCAGAGGGGGACAACAGUUGGAAACGACUGCUAAUACCGCAUGAUGUAUUUCGAGGGCAUCCUUGAAAUACCAAAGAUUUUAUCGCUGAAAGGUGGGCUCGCGUCUGAUUAGUUAGUUGGUGGGGUAACGGCCUACCAAGACUACGAUCAGUAGCCGGACUGAGAGGUUGAACGGCCACAUUGGGACUGAGAUACGGCCCAGACUCCUACGGGAGGCAGCAGUGGGGAAUAUUGGGGCAAUGGGGGGCAACCCUGACCCAGCAACGCCGCGUGAAGGAAGAAGGCUUUCGGGUUGUAAACUCUUUGACGAGGGACGAAUAAAUGACGGUACCUCGAAAACAAGCCACGGCUAACUACGUG
Molecule: ribosomal RNA, 482 nt
Filed under: uncultured bacterium
Lineage: Bacteria
Description: bacterial SSU rRNA
Rfam family: Bacterial small subunit ribosomal RNA
Source: RNAcentral